This 253-nucleotide ribosomal RNA is filed under the name uncultured bacterium. RNAcentral describes it as "partial 16S ribosomal RNA". It matches the Rfam family "Bacterial small subunit ribosomal RNA", at positions 524 to 776 of the family's 1533-position model. The record is from RNAcentral.
GACAGAGGCCUCAAGCGUUAGGCGGAAUCACUGGGCUUAAAGCGUGUGUAGGCGGAUCGUUAAGUGUCUCGUGAAAUCCCACGGCUCACCCGUGGAACUGCUGGGCAUACUGGCGAUCUUGGGCCAACUAGGGGCAACUGGAACAAGCGGUGGAGCGGUGAAAUGCGUAGAUAUCGUCUGGAACGCCAAAGGUGAAGACAGUCUGCUGGGAACUUGCUGACGCUGAGACACGAAAGCCAGGGGAGCGAACGGG